GCAGCGGAAAGUAGCUUGCUACUUUUGCCGGCGAGUGGCGAACGGGUGAGUAAUGUAUCGGAACGUGCCCAGUAGCGGGGGAUAACUGGCCGAAAGGUCAGCUAAUACCGCAUACGCCCUACGGGGGAAAGGGGGGGACUCUUCGGAGCCUCUCACUAUUGGAGCGGCCGAUAUCGGAUUAGCUAGUUGGUGGGGUAAUGGCUCACCAAGGCAACGAUCCGUAGCUGGUUUGAGAGGACGACCAGCCACACUGGGACUGAGACACGGCCCAGACUCCUACGGGAGGCAGCAGUGGGGAAUUUUGGACAAUGGGGGAAACCCUGAUCCAGCCAUCCCGCGUGUGCGAUGAAGGCCUUCGGGUUGUAAAGCACUUUUGUCAGGGAAGAAAAGGUUCUGGCUAAUAUCCGGAACUGAUGACGGUACCUGAAGAAUAAGCACCGGCUAACUACGUGCCAGCAGCCGCGGUAAUACGUAGGGUGCAAGCGUUAAUCGGAAUUACUGGGCGUAAAGCGUGCGCAGGCGGUUCGGAAAGAAGGAUGUGAAAUCCCAGGGCUCAACCUUGGAACUGCAUUCUUAACUACCGGACUAGAGUAUGUCAGAGGGGGGUAGAAUUCCGCGUGUAGCAGUGAAAUGCGUAGAUAUGCGGAGGAAUACCGAUGGCGAAGGCAGC
RNAcentral lists this ribosomal RNA (670 nucleotides) under Advenella kashmirensis. Its description in RNAcentral is "bacterial SSU rRNA". It matches the Rfam family "Bacterial small subunit ribosomal RNA", at positions 66 to 725 of the family's 1533-position model. The record is from RNAcentral. Lineage: Bacteria; Pseudomonadati; Pseudomonadota; Betaproteobacteria; Burkholderiales; Alcaligenaceae.